GCCUUAGUAGCGGCGAGUGAAGCGGCAAAAGCUCAAAUUUGAAAUCUGGCUCUUUCAGAGUCCGAGUUGUAAUUUGAAGAAGGUAUCUUUGGGUCUGGCUCUUGUCUAUGUUUCUUGGAACAGAACGUCACAGAGGGUGAGAAUCCCGUGCGAUGAGAUGAUCCAGGCCUAUGUAAAGUUCCUUCGAAGAGUCGAGUUGUUUGGGAAUGCAGCUCUAAGUGGGUGGUAAAUUCCAUCUAAAGCUAAAUAUUGGCGAGAGACCGAUAGCGAACAAGUACAGUGAUGGAAAGAUGAAAAGAACUUUGAAAAGAGAGUGAAAAAGUACGUGAAAUUGUUGAAAGGGAAGGGCUUGAGAUCAGACUUGGUAUUUUGUAUGUUACUUCUUCGGGGGUGGCCUCUACAGUUUAUCGGGCCAGCAUCAGUUUGGGCGGUAGGAGAAUUGCGUUGGAAUGUGGCACGGCUUCGGUUGUGUGUUAUAGCCUUCGUCGAUACUGCCAGCCUAGACUGAGGACUGCGGUUUAUACCUAGGAUGUUGGCAUAAUGAUCUUAAGUCGCCCGUCUUGA
RNAcentral lists this ribosomal RNA (564 nucleotides) under Candida tropicalis. RNAcentral describes it as "partial large subunit ribosomal RNA". It matches the Rfam family "Eukaryotic large subunit ribosomal RNA", at positions 77 to 657 of the family's 3401-position model. The record is from RNAcentral. Lineage: Eukaryota; Fungi; Ascomycota; Pichiomycetes; Serinales; Debaryomycetaceae.